RNAcentral lists this ribosomal RNA (253 nucleotides) under uncultured bacterium. RNAcentral describes it as "partial 16S ribosomal RNA". It matches the Rfam family "Bacterial small subunit ribosomal RNA", at positions 524 to 776 of the family's 1533-position model. The record is from RNAcentral.
UACGGAGGGUGCGAGCGUUGUUCGGAAUUAUUGGGCGUAAAGCGCGUGUAGGCGGUUUUUUAAGUCUGAUGUGAAAGCCCCGGGCUUAACCUGGGAAGUGCAUUGGAAACUGGGAGACUUGAAUACGGGUGAGGGGAGUGGAAUUCCUAGUGUAGGAGCGAAAUCCGUAGAGAUUAGGAGGAACACCGGUGGCGAAGGCGGCUACCUGGACUGAUAUUGACGCUGAGACGCGAAAGCGUGGGGAGCAAACAGG